Molecule: long non-coding RNA, 4706 nt
Filed under: Pelobates cultripes (western spadefoot toad)
Lineage: Eukaryota; Metazoa; Chordata; Amphibia; Anura; Pelobatidae
Source: RNAcentral
GGGAAAGGAAAAAAAAAUAUUGAAAAGGAAUAAUAGGGAGUUGUCUUUUUUUCUGCCUCUUUAAAGGACUUAUUAAAUAAUGUUUUAUUUAAAUAUUUCUCUGCUAAAUAGAUUCCUAAUGUUUAUUCUGUAUAGUUUCAAUUUAUCAUAUUUAUGAUGCAUUAAUUUUGAUGACCAUAAGCUAAAACCACUUUAUAAAAUACUUCAAUCUUUUACUUUUUUUUUUACAUGAAUGUAUUUGUACACCUCAAACAUUUUUUUAAAUAUCUAGUCUCAAACUGCUACAGCAUAAAUGUGGGUAUAUACACAACAUGCACAUAUGUAAUAUAGAAGCCAUACAUUGUACAACUGAUUGAGUUUUUAGCUCGUCCACAUUUUAUUUGUUUGUUUGUUUUUUUACUUUUUAUUUUUAAGUUGAAAACAUGCCUUACUGUACCCUGAUGUUUAGUAGCUUAGUGGUGUUAAGUAGCAAAGUGGCAAAUGCAUAAGUUAAGAACCACAGAAAAUGAUAUGCCAUACAUUUUAAAACUAGUUGGAUUUCCCCUUGUCCAUUUCUUUUUGUUUUUAUUUUGUUUGUCCCUUGACAGUAAUAAGCAUAGUAAUCUGAAAAUAGCAGGUUGUUACACAGCAACUGUUAUUAAAGAGCCAUUCUAGAUACCUACCAUAACACUGCAGCAUGCUGUAAGGGUUAUGGUGCCAAGAGCUGUCUAGUAGUAAUAUGUCAAACUAUUAAUGAACUGUUUGAUGCUUACCUGGCUUCUUUAUGUACCCAUGGUCCUUGCAGUCUGAGUUAAUCUGAUAAAGCACACGUUCAAGCUUUCGUAUUAUCACACUAACUCAUAUCAGGUAUAUGCAGUAUUCAUGGACUGAGGCUGUCUGCUGGGUUAUGGUAUGAAUUGUUAAGAUUGAACUUCCAACUUAUUCAUACAACUGCAUCUGACACAAAGUGUCAAACCACUCCUAAAUUUGACAGAUGGUGCUCGGUGACUUCUGACACCAUAACCUCCACAUGCAUGCUGUACGGGUUAUGGCACUUAGUGUCACUUUAAUCUGCAACUCCUAUCAUAUUUAAACUGCCAACUACUUCAAGGCCAAUAAGACAAAACCGCUGAAGUACUGUUGUUUUCAUAUCAGGAUCACCAGUGGUAAAUGGUUUUGGGAUAUACCCUUGUCAAAGAGUUGGAUAAAGCAUAAAACAUGGACAAUUGUUGGUCUUUGGGUGUUUUGAAAGAGGUUUGCUUUUUGAAAUAGAGGACUGUCCUUAGAGCAGGUAUGUAACACUGAUUUCUAUUUUGACACACAUUGCAACAUACAAGUCUAAUACGCUAAGAACUCCAACCCCCCCCAAAACAUCAGUGUGUUUGUCAAAACUGUAAUGUGAAAAAGACAAUGUUACGCUAUGGAGCAAAAAUCUAAGACUCUGUAAAUAACAUUGGAAAUUUUGCUCAACUACUUAGUUAAUUUGCCCCUGAUAUUUUAUAUUGAUUUCUUAUGUUACAAACUAUUGACCAGAUGUGGAUUUGCAAAAAAACUAACUAAACAAAACAACAAUUAAGAUUUAAAUAUGCGAAUGCGCCUUGCCUUUGUUAAAAAAAAAAAAAAGCUAUAAAGUGAGCUAAUUUUUACAGAGCCACCUUAAAUUCAACUUUACUGACAUUUUUUAUGAUUAUUAACAGAGUUUGUAGGCUAACCUGCUUUCUUUAAUACAAGAUGAAGACCAUAUUUUCUCAUUUAGCCAAUAUAGGAACAGAUUUGUCAGAACGCUAAGCUAACUUUUAUAUAUGUCAGGACACAAAAAAUACUUAUGAGUUUAUUCAUUAAAUAGUGAGUUGUUAAGACUUGAAAACAGCUUAAUUUUGAAUAGCAUAGAUGACUUGGAAAGUAAAAUGUACACAAUUACUUUAUUUUCAAACUCACCUAACAUUGUAUAGACUUUCAACUGGCCACAACAUACAUUUUAAUAUAUUAUAACCCUACAAUAAUAUGGUUUUCUUUUUAAAAGUAAUUUCCACCCCAAUGAGCCGAAACGUUAUUAUUGCUUUCAAAGUUUGAGUAAAUGAAUAACUAAUUAACUGAUCAAUCUGUCCAUACCAACAGGAUCCGAUGCACCCCAGUCCUGGCAAAGAUUAUUAUGUAGAAUAUUAUCUUUUCAUAUAUAGACUUAAUGGGAAAAUAUGCAAAAGACAUUCAAGAAGAAACAUCCAAGUAAAAAAAGAAAUAGGUCUUAAGGAUGUAUUUUGCAAAACAGGUUAUAUAUAUAUGUAUGUAUGUAUGUAUGUAUGCACAUGUGUAAAUGUGGAUCACACACACACGAGUACGCAAAUAUAUGUCCAUAUAAUUUUUAAAAAAAGACCUGUAAUAGGUUAUUGCCAAAUUACGUUUAUCCCUUUCCCUCCAUGUUGGUAGGACGAUUUCUGUUUUAGGCCAUUUUUGGUAUCUUUUACAAGCAUUUGGUACCACACUGUACAGAAAAUGCUGCUGUUACACAAAGUACUUUUGAUUUUCCCAUAAUAUGUUACUUAGAUUAUGUUGCCACAUACAUAUAACGGGGAAGACCGGCUUGCACCUGUACUUAAAGUGUUAUUUUGUGCUACUACAUUGGUAAUAGAGCACAGAGUAUGGUGCUGAACCCCUAGCACAGGUAAGCAAAGGUUUAAAACACUGGAUUUUGUAUGUCUUGUUUUGUGGUGUUGGCACAGUUCUCAUAUUGAAUAAGAAAUCCCCACAAAUUCUUUUGUGCCAUGUAAAACUUAUGAAUAUGACGCCUGAAACACAAUGUUAACGCAAGCUUUAGAAAUGGUUAUUCAUUGAGAAUUUUUUUUUUUGUGAAUAUGAAUUUGCACCCAGAAUAUGAAUGUACUUCACACUGCAGUUCAACAAGUAACCAGGUGAUGGCAGUAUAGUGCUGUCAUAAAGUCUAGUUUAACCCCUUAAGGACACAUGCCAUGUGUGACAUGUCAUGAUUCCCUUUUAUUCCAGAAGUUUGGUCCUUAAGGGGUUAAGAGGCAGACAAAUCUAAGCUAAUUCAGCUUCUCGUUUGUUGAUACUACUGCAAAAGUAAAAAAAAAACAUGGAGGCAAUAUAUACGGACAGCUGUUUCAGCAAAAUGUGUUCUGUAAUAAACUCUUUUAGGUAAAUGUGUGAGAAUUCAGAGAAUUUUAAUGCCUGUGCUGGAUUAGGUGCUUUCUAUGUUUCCUGGAUUUGCCUGGGAGUUUUGCAGAUUAAUUAAGCCUUUUUGUCAUGCAAACUUCUCAGCGUCCAAAGAGUUAAAGCCACAUAUGCCACAUCUCAGCACCCAGUGGUUUAAAACUGCUGUGUUGAAAUAAACGGGGCUCUGCGCUCUACUAUCUAUUUGUGUGGUAUUUUAACCAUAUAGGUGGUAUUGAAACCUCUGGUUAAUUAAUUAAUUUCUUAUUUCUCUGGGUGCUUUCUAGAAUCCCAUCAUAAUGGCCUGUUUAGCACUGGACCAGUUAAUGCUGCUAACAUAAAUUAGUUUAUUGUUUUACUUCGUGUAGUGCCUGAAACAAGGCAGACAAUAUACAGAGUUCGUCAGACCUUGAGCUGGAGGGUUUAAAAGUACUUACUGAAUUAUCAUAGGCCUUCUGCUGCGUUCUGUCUGAAAGUGACAGUUUGAUGUAGAAACUUAAAAAAAUAACUAUUUAUAAGUUGGAGGCCGUAAUUGGAGUUUUUGAAGCUUUUGUCAGUAGCAGUCAAUCUAAAACAAGCCUAGUGCAUACAUUAUAGGUAGGGGGUGAUAACUACCUAGUACCGGCCUGGGCAUAGCAGAAGAUCACAUAUAAUCUUUAUACAUGGGCAUACCAAGCCAUUUUAACUGAAGUAAGAUGUUGCCUAAUAUUUAUCUUAGUUCUGUCUUAUUACACCACCGUCCUGUAAGCGCCACACCAAGUGCCUUGAGUGUUUUGUUAUUUCUCCAUAAUGAUACAUUUCAAUUGAUUCAGACCAUUGUAAUGAAAGGAUUCAGUCUUUCGGAAAGUGUCUUGAAUUAAAAUUAUACUUUUGGACUCUUCAGCAGUAAAAAUGUUAAUUUUAAACAAUUUCUACCUUUGUUACAAGAAGAGUGUUCUUUAGAACAGCCAAUGAGAACAGCGUGUGAAGGUUUCUUCCCUAAUAAAAGUUUUAACUGAGGGAGCAAUGGUUGACUAUUUUGCAUUUUUCUUUGCAAAAAUGCAAAAUGUAUUAUGUUUUUAUUAUGUUGUUUUCAUUUUGGCGUUUGGUACAGCAGCUUUAACAGGUAUCGUGUAGCACUUAAAAGAAUAUUAUGCUAAUGAGCAAAAACUAUUUUUGGGACAAACCUUUUGAGUCAUAGCAUUGUAUUGUUUUCCUAUUAAAGUUUUUUCUUUUUUUUUCCGUUUGUAAUUUUCUUUUUUUUUUUAAAAGCUUUUUGUAAAAAGCUAAGAAAAAAAAACCAUGUUGUGUAUAUGUGUGUGCCCUUUUCAUUUAUGUAAAUGUUCUCAGAAUAUUUAUUUACUAAUAUAUUUAUCUUCAGACAAGUCUUAUGUUGAGUGUUAUUGGGAUAAUCAAUGAAUAUUUCUAACACAAAUUUUUUUAACUGUCCAGAAAAUGCACAUGGAUGUAAUUUUUUUGACCAAAUUAUGAUUAAAAAUAAAUAUGAAAUAAUUUUAGUACUAUACAGUUUUGUAACAAAGUGUACAAAUGUUAAAAAUACAAUUUUACCAAGAAAUGUG